RNAcentral lists this ribosomal RNA (373 nucleotides) under uncultured organism. Its description in RNAcentral is "partial 16S ribosomal RNA". It matches the Rfam family "Bacterial small subunit ribosomal RNA", at positions 527 to 896 of the family's 1533-position model. The record is from RNAcentral.
GGAAGGUGCAAGCGUUAAUCGGAAUUACUGGGCGUAAAGCGCGCGUAGGCGGCUAGAUAAGUCGGGUGUGAAAGCCCUGGGCUCAACCUGGGAACUGCAUUCGAUACUGUCUAGCUAGAGUGUGGUAGAGGGAGGCGGAAUUCCGCAUGUAGCGGUGAAAUGCGUAGAGAUGCGGAGGAACACCAAUGGCGAAGGCAGCCUUCUGGACCAACACUGACGCUGAGGCGCGAAAGCGUGGGGGGAGCAAACAGGAUUAGAUACCCUGGUAGUCCACGCCGUAAACGAUGUCAACUAGCCGUUGGGAGCAAUUUGGUUCUUGGUGGCGCAGCUAACGCGAUAAGUUGACCGCCUGGGGAGUACGGUCGCAAGAUUA